RNAcentral lists this unclassified non-coding RNA (430 nucleotides) under Hevea brasiliensis (rubber tree). Lineage: Eukaryota; Viridiplantae; Streptophyta; Magnoliopsida; Malpighiales; Euphorbiaceae. The record is from RNAcentral.
AAAAAAAAAAAAGAAAAAUUGAUGUAACAGAAGUCUGCAGUCAUGUAAUGUUUACCCAUACCUUAUGGGUUCCUUUGGAUGGCUUCAAUGAACUUUGCUGCUUAAAAGCCUGCAUCUUCUAAUAAUGUGUUCUAUCCCCAGGUGAAAUUUAAAAAUAAAAUCUGAUUUGCAAAUAUAGAUGGCACAAUUUAUGUAUUAUUUUUUGCAAUUUUAAUAUAAUUAAUGAAUUUUUUUUCUUAGACUGAUUCAUUAUGGAUCUAAGAAGGAUUGAUUUGUUGGCAAUGAUGAAGUGGGACUAGCCAUUUAAAAGAGACAAAUACAAAAUCGUUAGGUUCCAUCAAUUAAAGAAGCAGUUUAGCAGUCUGUUCAAAAGAAAACAUUUAUUAUAUGUACAAUGAAGUAUAGCUAACGUAAUUAGGAGUUGGAUUAG